Gallus gallus (chicken) is the source of this 9419-nucleotide long non-coding RNA. RefSeq lists it as uncharacterized. The record is from RefSeq and is a predicted model, not a curated record. NCBI's taxonomy places the organism in Eukaryota, Metazoa, Chordata, Aves, Galliformes, Phasianidae. The transcript has 2 exons.
UUUUCAUCAGCUUUUUCUUUCUUUCUCUUUCUCUCUUUCUCUCUUUCUCUCUUUCUCUCUUUCUUUCUUUCUUUCCUUCUUUCUUUCUUUCCUUCUUUCUCUCUUUCCUUCUUUCCUUCUUUCUCUCUUUCUCUCUUUCUCUCUUUCUCUCUUUCUCUCUUUCUCUCUUUCUCUCUUUCUUUCCUUCUUUCUUUCUUUCCUUCUUUCUCUCUUUCCUUCUUUCCUUCUUUCUCUCUUUCUCUCUUUCUCUCUUUCUCUCUUUCUUUCUUUCUUUCCUUCUUUCUUUCUUUCCUUCUUUCUCUCUUUCCUUCUUUCCUUCUUUCUCUCUUUCUCUCUUUCCUUCUUUCUUUCUUUCUUUCUUUCUUUCAUUCUUUCUUUCCUUCUUUCUUUCUUUCCUUCUUUCUCUCUCUCUUUCCUUCUUUCCUUCUUUCCUUCUUUCCUUCUUUCCUUCUUUCCUUCUUUCUCCCUCUCUUUUUGGCCUUCUAUUUGGACCAGGUUCAAAACAGUUUUCCAAAUACUGAAGAUUCAGUUGCAAAUUGAGCAAAAAGCCCCCAAAUCUCCAGCACUGCUUUCUAGAGUGAGUUUUGAUGUGAAAAAACCUACUCCUCUCCCACCACUGCUCUGUGCUCCUGUUCCAGCAGCCUGUCAGGACCCCCCCCUCACAAGGAUUUUUAAUAACCUGAGCAAAGUAAAUUAGCUGAGAUGGAGUGAUUCUGUACUCAGCAGGAUCGCAGCCCAAUGUUUCUCCAAUAAAAGUCCUCGCGUUAGAAAACCGUCAUGCAAUUUCACAGACCUUUACAGCAAACCCUUCAGGCGUAUAGCAGUCCCAAAUUUCACCCAGUGACCAGACUUACAUAUUGACAAAGCCCUUUCUUUUGCUCUGUGCUAUUCAUUGGAAUGGUACUUCAAAGACCGCAGGUCUGCAGAGAAGAAAGGGACAUUUUCUUUUGACCGUCUAUUAACAUAAAUGAAAGCCCUUUGAAAAGAUGUGAGCUCUAGAAGGCUGCUGUAUGCUUUUCACAAACUGCCUGCAGUGAGAAAGAAACCAGGCAAAGCCAUUCUGCCACCUCCCAGUUUCCUUAAUGCUGACUUAGAGAACCUGACGUUGGAAGCGCUCACAAAGAGACCAGAAAUAAUUGUGUGUUAGCCACCAAAUUCUUGCAAGGUAUGUGUCAGCUCAGGCUCUGAGGGGUCUCCUGGGGGGCUGAACCUGCUGGUCUCUGGAAUCCCUAAAUUGGGUGUUGAGAAGAGGGAUUUCUUCCAGUAGAUCGCUGACCUGCGGUGGCUAUUAUGUAUAUGCAUGGUUUAUAAAGAAAGAAAAUGGUGACAUGUCUUCAAUCAUCCUAUGCAGGACACUGCAUGUGCAAGAAGUAUCUAUACAGAUUAAAAGCGAACUAAAUUUAGACAUAAAAACUGCACAUGAAGGCCUGCGAUGAGCAGACAAAUGCACUUUUUCUGGUGAGAUUACCAACAAAUGGCUGAACGGGAGCGUGGGGCAGGGAGCCCUAAGGCAGCACUCACCCAGUCCCAACACCAGAAGGGUAAAUGGGCCCCACACUGGGAUUGGACAUGGGGCACAUCGCUGAACACUGAAGCAAAAGGAAAGCAAUGCACAGCUCCCUUAUUUUAAGGACCUGUCAUAGAAUGAAACAAAACACAGUUUAUGCCUUCCUUAAUACCUGAGACAGGAAUGAGAGGCACUUGCUGUCAACCUCCACCUCCAAGCAUUUGUAGAACAGCUCAUUUGCAGCUAGCACAGGCAGAAUGGUGAUAGGGAACUUGCUGUCUUUGAUGCCAUCUACUGGGAAGGUGGCUCCAAUGGCCAGAACAUGGCCUGGGAUGGGCUGCUCCAUUGGAGAACACGAUCUAUUGCUGAGAUGCAGAGUCAGAGGCUGCAGACAGGAUGUGGGGAGCUCUGCUGGGACCACAGACUUCACAGAGCACAGCUGAGGUGUUCAAAGGCAUCAGCAGAAAUCACAGGGACACGCUGCCAUCUGCUUCGCUGGAGUGAUGCUGGGCCAGGGAGCACGGUGGUCUCCCAAGCCUGCAGAUGUCCACGAAAAGAGGCAGGAGGCAAGAGUGCAAGGAAUAAACAGUGCCAUGGGAAAGGGGGAUGUGCAAGAGGGAGGCCCUGAGUGUAAAGUUCAAGCUACAGGUGAUGAUGGUCCUGCUAAGAAAGGAAAGGAGGGGCAGAGCAGUCUUUUAAGGGAGGCAGUGCCUCCUCACUUCCAGCUACAGCCCAGUACAGGCAAGUCUCUGAAAUGAGACAAAGCUGAGCCACUGCCUCAUGGACAACAAGAGAAGAGAGAUUUUGACGGUGCCAAAUCCCAGGCCCCUGGGAUUUUAACAUGAGAAUGGAUCAGCCUUCAGCGAAUCACUCAUUAUCACAUCAUCAGUACUACAUAGGUCUUCCUCCCCACCCACUCAUGUUCAGAGCUUACUACAGGAAAAGCAAGAUUGAUUUACCUGUUUAUUUCACAUCUCAGCUUUCUGACGCUGGCAGCAUGGAGGAUACCUCUCUGCCAGGCAGAGAAACAACUCCGGGGUAGCUGGUUGAGUCCCAGCUAUUUUAGGAAGGUGUUAAUGACCAUAGAAUCAUAAAAUGGCCUGGGUUGAAAAGGACCACAGUGACCAUCUCAUUUCAACCCCCUGCUAUGUGCAGGGUCACCAACCAGCAGACCAGGCUGCCCAGAGCCACAUCCAGCCUGGCCUUGAAUGCCUGCAGGGAUGGGGCAUCCACAGCCUCCUUCCCACAUUUAAUCUCCUGGGGUGGAUGGUGGGCAUGUGUGGUUUUUUGUGCCGUUUUAUGAAGAAUCCCAGCAGAUAAGACCAAGACUGGCCUCGCUUGUUUUUUUUUUCCCCCAUCCCAGUUAGAAUGAUUUACAGAUGGGAAAUCCCUGCCAAACAUCCCAGCUCCACAGCGCAUUCUGGCUCUGGCUGUGGAGUCAGAACUGACUUGGAAAGCUGGCACAGCAAUCUUGGUAGAAAGGACACUUCUCCCACACUCUGCUCGGAAACCAGCCCAGCACAUAUCAGCAACCACGUGGCUUUCUGCAGAGAGCAGCCUGUUUCCUCCCUAAGACAAUGGCCAUGUACAGAGCACACCCUGCCCCUGGGUGUCACACCUGCCUUGAGUCCUCCGCAGCCAUGUAGUGCUGUGCUUAUACAAAGCUGCUCUUCCUGAUGCCGUACAAAAGAUAUGGGAAGUAAAGAGAGAAAAAGAACUACCCAGGGGAAGCAGUAACGUCGACGGCAAACAAAAUGCAGCUGGUAUGCAAUGGAACAUCAAAGCUCAGCACAGAUAAACCAGAGAAUCAACUUUUCUUGUACCUCCUGCAAAUACACAAACCUUCCAUGCUGUUUGUAAGGGCAGCAAGCUGAAUGAGACAGAUAUCUCUGAUCACACACACACAGUCACACUUGUUGGCCCAUGCAUUACCUUACCAACAGCUUGUUCCUUAUUGCUAUUCAUUGCCUGCACACGGCUUGCACAGACAGCAGAAUCAACAGUCUCCAAAGGGAAUAAUAAACGUGCCUGAGAAAGCCACUUAUUUGGAAAUAAACCCCCUUAAAACAACAGCAGUCGCUGGGAACUCAUCUGGGAUUCGCAUGGUCCAGGGCCAGGACCCAGCUCCACAAGGGACACCCACAGCUGGAUUCAGGGGGUUCUCUGCCAUGUGCCACCAAAGGGACGUUGCUGGCACCGGGUCCUGCGGCAGCAGGGUGGGCUCAGGGCACCGUCAUGCUCUUGUGCAGCCUCAGGCUUUGGCAUGGGUCCCGUGGAUAAAGAACCCAACAAAUAUAGACAGGGAUCCGGGGCAAAGACGGAGAAUGGGAUAAUAGCAUGAGGAAAAUGAAAGGAUGAGCAAAGAUUGAGUGCAUCUCAGAUACAGUAUGAGGAGGGGUCAGUCAAGAUAAGAAAAGGCAAGUUUGGUGUUUUCUGUUCACAGGGCCACAUGUACCUUUGUGUAACAGCUUAUGCUGCCUUUAGUGCUACCCCGGUGUUUGCAGCGGGGGUCUGGGCUGACUCUUGCAAACAAAUGGGAUUGAUUAAAUUCUACCACGCUCUCACAGAUUUCAGCAGGCAUGUCCUAUAUGUUUGCUAUGCAGAGACCUGGCCAAAUUCCCUGCAGAGUAAUAGCUAUGGAAAACUGUUGGUUUACCGCCUGUUCAAUCCUCUAGAAGUUUCCAAUAAAGACAGCAGCUCCUGGAUUUGCUUGGCAAUCAGCCAUAUCUCCACAGUUGUUGAACCCCUCCAGGGACGGCGGCUGCCCCACCUCCCCAGGCAGCCUUUCCGAUGCCUCACCACCCUUUCUGAGAAUUUUUGCCUAAUAUCCUGCCCCAGCACCAGCUGGGCCUGCCAGCACUCCUCUGGGCUGGGGGUACCCGCCUCAACUCGGACCCCUGAGCAACAUGGGCUGCCCAUUGAAGCUCACUGCUGCUCCAGCCCCCAGCUGCAAAGCUGCCCUGCAUGGCCGUGCGGUGACGUGCAGCCACGCAGGGAUAGGGCAAACACAGCAGCAGGGAGCCCAGCCGCAGGAACUGGCCACAGCAAAGCCAUUUAUCCGUUUCCACCAGAUCCAGUCGCUCUCUUUGAUCCAGGAAGCAUCUGUCUGGAUGGAACUGUGCUCUGCGUUAUGAUUCAGCGUGGCUGAAAGCAAUCCCAGGUCUCAAAAACAGCCCUGCUUCUUCUGCCUGGGGCGCGCGAUGCUGCAGCAGUAACCACGGAACAGGAAGGAUGUGACAGCCGUGGGAUCUUUGGGACUUUGCUCAGUUCCUUGGGACCUGUGGGUAAGGCUCCCAGCUGCCCUCAGCCAGAGCAAACACCACCCAACGCCACAGCCAAAUUCUGUACCUUUGAGGGGUGACCAGGAUGGGCAGCUGAGCCCAGGACCACAGGACCGUGAAGGUGCUGCUGCAGCAAACGGGGCACUGAGGCUUUCUGACACACGGGGCUCAAACCCUCCCUGCUCUCCUGCCACCUCAAUCCACCCCACUUAGCGCUCCCUUCUGGAGCUUCUGGCCUCAAGGGUGACAGUGCAGGAGUGGCAGUGGCAGUGCACCCCUCCUGCGUGCUCCUAUAGGAAUGCACAGCUCAGGAAAGCCACCGCGCCUGCUCACACAGCCCAAGCUCAUUCCUGGCUCUGCUUUCAACAGUGGCCAGCUUCUGACAGCGGCUGAGAAGCAAAAUGUGGGAGAUUUUAUAUUAGAAUUCGUGCCCUGAAGGAAAAUUUCCUUUUGAAUUUUAUGAGUGGGAAUUUGGCUUGUGUCUGGAAGCACAAAGGCUUACAUUGCUACCAAACCCUUUGGACUGAAAUCCUGACUCCAGAGGAUUCAAAGGAAAUUCUCCUUCUGUCUUCUUUGGAGCAGCGUUUUCUUUUAGGUUUGUUGUUUGUGUGAGUGUCCUUAUAACAACCCUAAAACCCCCAAAUGCUUUAGAGCUGAGCAGGACAUGAAGGCUCUGCAUUUACGCUCCUGCAAGGCAUGCUGGGCUGGAAAAGACUGUUACUCUCGUGGUAAUAAAAGCGUAAACACUCAGCCAAAAGGCACAGAGCUCAUAAACCCACAAAAGCAGGCAGGCCCAGCAAUUAGGAACUUGCUACAAAAGAGACCUGCAACAAUUAUUAAACCCCAGUCCAGGCAUUUUCCUCUAAUACAAAACGAUGGCAGCAAAAGGGCUUCCAGGCCCACAGCUCUGCUCCUUUGUCCAUCUUCAUUUUCACGGCUGCUGGAUAACCUCUUUCUUGUCAUUAUUUAACAAAACCUACACGGUUCCAAAGUGAUUUUCCCCCCUGUGCUGCUACUCCAGUUUCCAGCAGAGGUUUCCAGUUGCAGUGGGGGAUACCCAUGGCUUGCAUAAAGAAGCUGCAGUCAGCCCUCCCAUUCGGAAACGCAUUUGCUACUGCGAUGCUUCCUUGCAUGGCGUGUUUCUGAGCACAUGCUGCCUCUCCUCACACAGACAUACAUGAAGGAGAAAACGCAAUGAUAAACUGGAAAGAGAGCAAAUAGGAAGGUGGGACAGGAGGUGCUUUGCUUGCUUCCCACCUGCCAUGAAGGGCAGGUAUUGCUUGCCUGCAAAACAAGUGGCAGAAGAGCAUCCUGAGCUCCUCAGCCUGAUUUGGGCUGCUGCCUCACCAGGCCUCCGCACUGCUCCUGUUUGCAUUCCCUGUUCCCACGGCCCUGAGCAGUGACAGUGAGAAAACCCAGAGCAGCCCACGGGCUGUGCGGAUGAUCUCUGAAGUAUUUACAUGACUGAACUGCACCUCCAUAAAUCUGGCCGAUUCUCUGACACAGGAAAGGGCCCGGGGUGUUAAAUAAAUAGGCAGUAAAUUUCAGAGGAUUUGGUAAAAUGAGAGUUGUCGUUACUUUCCCAUUCCAAGAAGACUGAUCUUGGUUAUAAUUAUCCCAGCUACAUCCACUCUUUCCAACGGCCCGAGCUGAUAAAUGAAGCGUUUGCUCUCACGAAUGCCUCUCCUUCCCCUGAUGUGUGCAAUGUGUUCCAGAUGGGUGGAGAAAUCAUUCUUUUCUCCUACACUUGCUGAGCUAUUUCCGAGCACCCACAGCACCAGCAGGUGUAAAUCAGCAGCACUCCGUCUAACUCCGACGCCCCACAUCCUCACCUGCUGGAAAGAGCAGCCCUGAACUUAAAACAGCGUACAGCACAUAGGUGUCACCACAAGCAAUGUCGAGUGGAUGGCUGCUCUAGGGGAAAAAAAAAAGCCCAUCAGAUAAACACAGAAGGUGGUAAUUGCACGGGUCUCUUUGGGCAGGCGAUGCUGCUGCUGCCUGCCGGCUUCGUGCUGCUCCUGGAAAUAGCCACUUUAAUUAGGCUGAUUUAAAUGCAGAUAAGUUUUUCUUUCAGCCGAAGUCUUUGUACCCGUUUUGUGUGCACGGGGGUAAGCCUCGGAGUCCUCAGCCAGAAAGUGUCCUUUUGCUCCUCUGCUGGGUGCCAAGCGCUUGCCACUCUCUUCAGCAGGGAGCAGAGGAGCCCAUUGAUGCCGACCACUGUGCUUAGCUCCGCAGAGAACACAGUCCUCUGAAUUCAGCCCCUCUGAGGAGGGACCUCACCACCAGGUUAAGAACAAUCGGAGAAGAACAGCCCGGCAGGACCCAGCCCAGGGUGUGGGAAGCCGGCUGCUCAGGGGAGGAGAGUGGUACCUCUGAGGCUGGUGAGCAGCAGGAGACAGAGAUGCUUUGGGCAUCAGAAACAUUAGCACACACUGUCUGUCUGCAGCACUCAAAUGCUCCUCAGGACGCACUGAUCUCUUGAGUGCCUGCCUGGGCACAGCCAGGACCUCAUCUGCAGGAGUGCUGAGCCCACACAGCUGCCCCUGCAGCGGCUGCAAGCUGCCUUUGGAACACGUUUCCAUGCAAUGCUCGAGUACUUGCAAGCUAAGCAUAUGAGCGAUUGACCCUUUGGACAGAGUUAGUUCUAACCUCCGCGCCUCUCCUCCCUGUGUGCAAAGCAAACACAGUGUCCGAAUAUUGCUUGGCAAUCUGUACUGCCUCUGGUUUGGGGCAGGGAAAGUGCAGGCAGGCUGCACAGGGACGUGUGUUCAAGAGACACAGAUCCUGACUUUGUGCACACAAGUGCAGCUUUGUACAUAGCUUUGCACAUGAUGGAACUCAGGGACUGCUGAGAGCAGGGCUGGUUAAUGAUGGCAAAGGUUCUUUUCAAAGCAAAAGUCCAUUUGCUGCGGUGAAAGUGGACUCCCCACAUCUCCAUAGAGUUUUAAGAUAAGAAGUGUCAUCUUUAAAGAUGAGUGCUUGCUGGAACAUCUCAACUGGCAAGGAAAAAUAAAGAGCUCUGCCUACAAGAAGAAAAGCCAGCUCUUCUAUUGUGUGCACUGCUUUCAUUUAUGUCAGCUCCAUUAAUGCCCCGUGAAGCCACGGGUCUGUAAUCGAGCAGCUGACCUACAGCAGCACUGGCAUUCGCUGCUGUCUUACACCAGAUUUACUCCAGCUGUUAAGGUUUAAGGCCUCGCCUUUCACACGGUUCCCCUUAAUAAAUUGUACCAGACAUCAGCAGCUAAGAAGUUUUACAGUCGAGUUGCAAAUCGAGACUGGUCUCUCAGAUGAAGAGGACAUCAGCUCCUCAUACUGUGUUUACAAGCAACAGUAGUUCUUUCAGCAUCAUUUGGGACUCUGAGACCAAACACUGCCCAUGGUGGUGCUCCGGGCAUCUUUGCUAUAACAGCAUUAUAAAUAUGUAAUGAGAAUUUAAAAGGCAGAAGGCAAACAGAUAAUGGAGGCACCCAACAUAAACAUCACAUUUAACUCUCACCACCUGAAAAGAGCUACAAAUUCCAGCGUGCACUCACCAACACCUGGCAGAAUCCAGACACAAAAGGAUGGGGACUUUCAGAGGACAGCUGCCUACUGCGUCUCUUAUAUAUAGCCAUUUUUAAAGGGGACCAAGAAACGUAGCACAUAAAAAUGAGGAGCUGUGUUCAAGCAAUUAGGAUUUAGAACACCAAUAGUGAGGUCAUUGAUGCUGCUGCACCAGAGAUUUUGCUGAAAUCCCUACAAGUUGGCCUGGGUGAAGCUGCUUGUGAACAUCCCAGUGCUGAAAUCAGGGGAGGUCACUCAGCACCUGGCUGUCUCAGACAUCCCUGUGCUAAGCAGAGUGCUCCCACAGGCAGUGGGAAUCACUGCGGAUGGGGGUGGACCUCUUUUGCAUGGACCUCGGACUCCUUCAUGAGCAGGGCUUGGAUGAGACGGACCCAGAGGUCCCCAACAACCUCAGCCAUGCUGGGAUUCUGUUAAUGGUCCAGAGAACAACCCUUCUUUUUACUCCUCUCAUCCUCCCUUGUGAUACACACAGAUGAAGCUUCCCAAACGCUUCUCUGACACGCAGUCUCCACCCUCCCCCUCCGUUUUCAGCCCUUUCCUUCCCACUGCCUCCUUCCUUUGAGUCACAGUCACGUCGGAUGUGCUGCCUGAUUAUCAGUUGCACCAGCAUUUAGAGCUCCCUCGUGGAAAGCAGCGUUUUGAAAGCUUUUCCAGCUUCUCCUCCAGAUGAUGUCACCCUGGGUGGGUGCCAGGCUGGGUUCAGAGUGAAAAUUCUUCACUUCAGGGUCAGACAUUCUCCUAUUUUUAGGCCCGAUUUCAGUGCCAGGCAGCCAAUAGUGUAGCUGAAUGGCUCGUGUUAUUCAACUGCAAAUGCCUGUUGGAGUCCAAACAAAGCUCCGUUUGUAGCAGGUUAAGGGGCUCUGCAGCCCAGGAACCCCUUUUUGAAGUGUGGCUGCAGCUGCUCUGCUCCACAGCGCUCAGUCAGUCUGCACGGAGGUGCAGAAUACUUCCAGCUCCCACCCUUGAUAAACUGCAAUUGUAAAAGCAGAACAAAGGGGUUGGAUUCUAUCUGGGUCUCUGUAAUCUUCCGGCUGCAUUCUGUUCCUUGCUCCAGUCCUCUGGAGGUG